UGAAGUCAUUUUAUCCUUCAA
RNAcentral lists this non-coding RNA (21 nucleotides) under Caenorhabditis elegans. The record is from RNAcentral. Lineage: Eukaryota; Metazoa; Nematoda; Chromadorea; Rhabditida; Rhabditidae.